AUUGAACGCUGGCGGCAGGCUUAACACAUGCAAGUCGAGCGGGGGAAGGUAGCUUGCUACCGGACCUAGCGGCGGACGGGUGAGUAAUGCUUAGGAAUCUGCCUAUUAGUGGGGGACAACAUCUCGAAAGGGAUGCUAAUACCGCAUACGUCCUACGGGAGAAAGCAGGGGAUCUUCGGACCUUGCGCUAAUAGAUGAGCCUAAGUCGGAUUAGCGAGUGUGGUGGGGUAAAGGCCUACCAAGGCGACGAUCUGUAGCGGGUCUGAGAGGAUGAUCCGCCACACUGGGACUGGGACACGGCGCAGACUCCUACGGGAGGCAGCAGUGGGGAAUAUUGGACAAUGGGGGGAACCCUGAUCCAGCCAUGCCGCGUGUGUGAAGAAGGCCUUAUGGUUGUAAAGCACUUUAAGCGAGGAGGAGGCUACUCUAGUUAAUACCUAGGGAUAGUGGACGUUACUCGCAGAAUAAGCACCGGCUAACUCUGUGCCAGCCGCCGCAGUAA
Molecule: ribosomal RNA, 502 nt
Filed under: uncultured bacterium
Lineage: Bacteria
Description: partial 16S ribosomal RNA
Rfam family: Bacterial small subunit ribosomal RNA
Source: RNAcentral